Molecule: long non-coding RNA, 2115 nt
Filed under: Mus musculus (house mouse)
Lineage: Eukaryota; Metazoa; Chordata; Mammalia; Rodentia; Muridae
Description: predicted gene, 30400
Source: RNAcentral
GCACACGUGCGGGUGGCGCUGGCGUAGGCGCAGACGCACCACAUCGUAGUCCACAUCGUGCCCUAUCUUUUUGCAGUUGAGGCCCCAGGCGAGGUUAUCGUGUGUUGUACGGAGCUCUUUUAAAUUCUUUUCCAUGUGCAAGUUGUGGCGGGUCAGCAGUGCACAACGCUUUUGUUGUCCCAAAUAACUGUUCUCUACAUAAAGCGGUGGAGAGGACAUUCUCAUUUUAAUAGCCACUUGAUCCUUACCGCCUGACAACUCUGCAGCAGGCGUGGGAGAAGGGCUCGAUCAUGUAUAUUCCAGGAAGACUAUGGGUGUUUCAUCUGUGAGACUAGUAGGAAGAUAUCAUCCCUCCUGGCUUUACAGUGUCACUGGUUGGGGGAGGAGUGCCCACAUUCCUAACUUUCAGGUCUAACAUUGAGAUACUUGAUCCAUUUGGAAAUGAUUCAUGUCUAGGAUGAGAGAGAAAGAUAAACAUUCAUUCAUUUGUGAAGGUACCCAGCUUCCCACCAACCAUUUGUUAAAGAUACUGUCUUUCUCCAAUACAUAUUGUUGACACCUUUGUCCAAAGCAGAUGUUCAGGACAUGGAUCAGCUGACAAAGUGCUUGCUAAACAGAUAUGGGAACACGAGUUUGAUCUCAAGAACCUAUUUAGGCGCUGAGCUUAACCUGUGCCACAGUGCUCCAUACCCAUACUGCCUGGAGAGAGCUGGUCUCCCAGAAGUGUGGACAAGCCUGUGAGCACAGGUAAGACCACCACUUCUCCUUCAAGGGACCAGCUCAGAGACCUCAGGACCCAGGAACUGAGGAGCAGUUUGGGACAGGAUCCUUCCAGUUUCUGUCUGAGCUGGGGAACUGACCCUGUACCACAGCUCUCCAUACCAAAAUACUCCCAGGAGAGAGCUGGUCUCCCAGGAUUGCUGACAUACCUGUGAGCACAGGUAAGACCAACACUUCUGCUCAAAUCCCUGGCCUAAGAAGGACCACCCCAGAGCCAUCAGGACACAGGAACCAAGGAACCCAGUUUCCAUCUGCAUCCCAGACCUGACACUAUGCCACAGCUCUCCAUACCCAAACUCCUGGAAAGAACUGGUUUCCUAGGGGUACUGACACACAAAUUUGCAGGAGGGACAAACCACAGUAAGAGACAGCAAGACCAGCUAACACCAGAGAUAACCAGAUGUCGAGAGGCAAAAGCAAGAGCAUAAGCAACAGAAACCAAGGCUACAUCAUCAGAACCCAAAUCUUCCAUCAGAGUGAGCCCCAACACACCAGAAAAGCAAGAUUCUGAUUUAAAAUCACAUCUCAUGAUGAUGAUAGAGGACUUUAAGAAGGACACAAAUAAUUCCCUUAAAGAAAUACAGGAGUACACAGGUAAGCAGGAAGAAGCCCUUAAAGAGGAAACACAAAAAUCCCUUGAAGAAUUACAGAGAAACACAAACAUUGAAGGAAUUGAACAAAACCAUCCAGGAUCUUUUGUUUGUUUGUUUGUUUUUCAUUUGUUUGUUUUUGUUUUUGUUUUUUUUUUUUUGAGAUAGGGUUUCUCUGUGUAGCCCUGGCUUUUCUGUACUCUAUAGACCAGGCUGGCCUUGAACUCAGAAAUCCACCUGCCUCUGCCUCCCAGUGCUGGGAUUAUAUGUGCCACCACUGCCUGGCAACCAUCUAGGAUCUAAAAAUGGAAAUAGAAACAAUAAAGAAAUCACAAAAGGAGACAACACUGGAGUUAGAAAACCUAGGAAAGAGAUCAGGAGUCAUAGAUGCAAGCAUCACUAACAGAAUACAAGGGAUACAAGAGAGAAUCUCAGGUGCAGAAGAUACCAUAGAAAUCCUUGACACAACAGUCAAAGAAAAUGCAAAAAGCAAAAAGCUCCCAACCCAAAACAUCCAGGAAAACUAGGACACAACAAGAAGAGCAAACCUAAGGAUAAUACAUAUAGAAGAGAGUGAAGAUUCCUAACUUAAAGGGCCAGUAAAUAUCUUCAACAAAACAAUAGAAAAAACUUCCCUAACCUAAAGAAAGAGAUGCCAUCAACACACAAGAAGCCUAUGGAACUCUAAAUAGAUUGGACCAGAAAAGAAAUUCCUCCGUCACAUAAUAGUCAAAACACCAAAUGC